GACGAACGCUGGCGGCGUGCCUAAUACAUGCAAGUAGGACGCAGUUGCGAACGGGUGAGUAACGCGUAGGUAACUACCUAUUAGAGGGGGAUAACUACUGGCAACGAUAGCUAAUACCGCAUACUAGUAGAUGGACCUGCGUUGUCUUAGCUAGUAGGUAGGGUAAUGGCCUACCUAGGCAACGAGCCAUAGCCGAGCUGAGAGGGGGAUCGGCCACACUGGGACUGAGACACGGGCCAGACGCCUACGGGAGGCAGCAGUAGGGAAUUUUCGGCAAUGGGGGGAACCCUGACCGAGCAACGCCGCGUGAGUGAAGAAGGUUUUCGGAUCGUAAAGCUCUGUUGUUCAGGAAGCGGUACUUAACCAGAAAGGGACGGCUAACUACGUGCCAGCCGCCGCGGUAAUAC
RNAcentral lists this ribosomal RNA (407 nucleotides) under uncultured bacterium. Its description in RNAcentral is "partial 16S ribosomal RNA". It matches the Rfam family "Bacterial small subunit ribosomal RNA", at positions 28 to 526 of the family's 1533-position model. The record is from RNAcentral.